This 1576-nucleotide long non-coding RNA is filed under the name Gossypium barbadense (sea-island cotton). RNAcentral's name for it is "long non-coding RNA (GBAR_LNC010885)". Lineage: Eukaryota; Viridiplantae; Streptophyta; Magnoliopsida; Malvales; Malvaceae. The record is from RNAcentral.
GGAUACAUACAUGUGAAUAAUUUAAAAUUAAUAUAAAGCUUUACAUUUGAAUAGAAUAUGGAUGCUGAGAAUAUGGAAAAAUCGUCCCAAAAGUAGCAUAUAAUUGAUGCAGUCCAACGCUUAGGUGUGGCUUACCAUUUCGAGAAAGAGAUAAAAGAGGCCUUGCAGAUUAUAUACCAUCAUCAUUGCAAUCAUAUUGAGAUUGAUGGUGAUAAUCUUUACACUACUGCUGUUCGAUUUCGCCUGCUAAGAGAGCAUGGUUUCGAUGUGCAUUGUAGUAUGGUUAUUAUAUUUAAUUCUUAUUUUGUAAUGGGCCAAUUUAUCUCGGCCCGAGACAAAGCAAAAUAAAUAGAAAAUAACAAAACCAAAAUAAAUUAAGACAGUCUGUUAAACAAGUCCAAAACAACAGGCCCAAAGUUACGUAGCCCAAUAAGGCCCAAAACAAACCCAACCCAAUAGUCCAAAGCUCAAACAAUUCUUAGGGAAACCCUAGGGUUUCCAAUCUUGUGACCGCAGCCCCCAGCACCCGUGCAUUCACAACCUCAACUGCCAUUGCCACGUGCUUCGUUCCUCCAGCUGGCUCCGUUCGUACCUGCAACAGACUAACAACCCACAACAAAUUGAUAGCAAAUAGAUCUAAGGAAAAAUUUCUUGCAUUUUCUUUAUUUCUUUAUUCGGCUAUAAAAGAAAACCAAAUGUAAUACUGUAGAGGAGAUUUUUGUGCAAUGGAAUACAGAGCAAUUUAAGCAAAAGAUUCUUUUCAAAGGUGAUCCUUAUUUUGAUUUUUACAUUUGAAGUAAAUUUAGCAUAAGAUCGUUUGCUUUUUUUUUUCUCUUUUUACUUUUUUUUAAACCUUUUUAAAAAAAAGGGAUAGGAGAAUACCUGUUUCGGGUAGCAUCGUCAAAGCCUCGGUUCCUUCGUCUAAGUUGCGCCUAAAGGGAAAUCCAAACCCUUCUUUACCGUUGUUGUGAAGUUUAUAAGCCAGAUCGUUGUGGUUCUAAGUGAGGUUGAAAGGGGGGAUGCUCGCGGCUGACUACCAUUUGCAGUGGUGGAAAUGGCCGAUCGCUUCUUAUGUUUUUGGGGGAAAAUAUUGUUUUUAUAUACAUGAGGAAACGACGUCGUUUGGGGCCUGUUUCAGUGGCCUCAAAACGACGUCGCAUAAGCUAUUCCCGAUGACCCGACCUAAACGGCCUUAGGAUCCGCCUAUUUUUGCGAUGAAAGGGUAUUUCGAAAUCAGUCCCUCCCUUCUGCGAUGUUACUCGAUUAGGUCUUUUACCUCUUUUAAUUUUGCCCAGAAAUUUUGUGUAAAUUUCAUUUUGAUCCGUGUUUAAACGUUGUGUUCAGGAACUUGGGAUAUUUACCUUUUUAGUCCUCGCAUGUUUGUGCGUGUUAUACUUUGGACCUUAUUUCUGUUUCAAUGGUUUAUUUUAUUUGUUAAUUAUCCAUUUUAAUUUGAUUUCAUUUCAAUUAAGUUUUUUAUAGUUCUUUUUUUUUCAAUUUAUUUAGCAUUCAUUUUAAAAAAAUAAUAAUUUAAAUAUACAUUUCGAAUUACUUUAAUAAUUUUGCCUUGUUUCAA